UGCUAUACAUGCAGUCGAGCGGACAGAUGGGAGCUUGCUCCCUGAUGUUAGCGGCGGACGGGUGAGUAACACGUGGGUAACCUGCCUGUAAGACUGGGAUAACUCCGGGAAACCGGGGCUAAUACCGGAUGGUUGUUUGAACCGCAUGGUUCAAACAUAAAAGGUGGCUUCGGCUACCACUUACAGAUGGACCCGCGGCGCAUUAGCUAGUUGGUGAGGUAAUGGCUCACCAAGGCAACGAUGCGUAGCCGACCUGAGAGGGUGAUCGGCCACACUGGGACUGAGACACGGCCCAGACUCCUACGGGAGGCAGCAGUAGGGAAUCUUCCGCAAUGGACGAAAGUCUGACGGAGCAACGCCGCGUGAGUGAUGAAGGUUUUCGGAUCGUAAAGCUCUGUUGUUAGGGAAGAACAAGUACCGUUCGAAUAGGGCGGUACCUUGACGGUACCUAACCAGAAAGCCACGGCUAACUACGUGCCAGCAGCCGCGGUAAUACGUAGGUGGCAAAGCGUUGUCCGGAAUUAUUGGGCGUAAAGGGCUCGCAGGCGGUUUCUUAAGUCUGAUGUGAAAGCCCCCGGCUCAACCGGGGAGGGUCAUUGGAAACUGGGGAACUUGAGUGCAGAAGAGGAGAGUGGAAUUCCACGUGUAGCGGUGAAAUGCGUAGAGAUGUGGAGGAACACCAGUGGCGAAGGCGACUCUCUGGUCUGUAACUGACGCUGAGGAGCGAAAGCGUGGGGAGCGAACAGGAUUAGAUACCCUGGUAGUCCACGCCGUAAACGAUGAGUGCUAAGUGUUAGGGGGUUUCCGCCCCUUAGUGCUGCAGCUAACGCAUUAAGCACUCCGCCUGGGGAGUACGGUCGCAAGACUGAAACUCAAAGGAAUUGACGGGGGCCCGCACAAGCGGUGGAGCAUGUGGUUUAAUUCGAAGCAACGCGAAGAACCUUACCAGGUCUUGACAUCCUCUGACAAUCCUAGAGAUAGGACGUCCCCUUCGGGGGCAGAGUGACAGGUGGUGCAUGGUUGUCGUCAGCUCGUGUCGUGAGAUGUUGGGUUAAGUCCCGCAACGAGCGCAACCCUUGAUCUUAGUUGCCAGCAUUCAGUUGGGCACUCUAAGGUGACUGCCGGUGACAAACCGGAGGAAGGUGGGGAUGACGUCAAAUCAUCAUGCCCCUUAUGACCUGGGCUACACACGUGCUACAAUGGACAGAACAAAGGGCAGCGAAACCGCGAGGUUAAGCCAAUCCCACAAAUCUGUUCUCAGUUCGGAUCGCAGUCUGCAACUCGACUGCGUGAAGCUGGAAUCGCUAGUAAUCGCGGAUCAGCAUGCCGC
RNAcentral lists this ribosomal RNA (1330 nucleotides) under Bacillus sp. WB23-16. RNAcentral's name for it is "bacterial SSU rRNA". It matches the Rfam family "Bacterial small subunit ribosomal RNA", at positions 45 to 1360 of the family's 1533-position model. Lineage: Bacteria; Bacillati; Bacillota; Bacilli; Caryophanales; Bacillaceae. The record is from RNAcentral.